CCUACGGUGGGCAGCAGUGGGGAAUAUUGCACAAUGGGGGCAACCCUGAUCCAGCUACGCCGCGUGAAUGAAUAAGUAUUUCUGUAUGUAAAGCUCUAUCAGCAGGGUAGAAAAUGACGGUACCUGAUUAAUAAGCCCCGGCUAACUACGUUCCAGCAGCCGCGGUAAAACGUAGGGGUCAAGCGUUAUCCGGAUUUACUGGGUGUAAAGGGGGCGUAGACGGCAUCACAAGUCUGGAGUGAAAUGCCGGGGCUUAACCACGGAACUGCUUUGGAAACUGUGCAGCUCGAGUGCAGGAGAGGUAAGUGGAAUUCGUAGUGUAGCGGUGAAAUGCGUAGAUAUUAGGAGGAACACCAGUGGCGAAGGCGGCUUACUGGACUGUAACUGACGUUGAGGCUCGAAAGCGUGGGGAGCAAACAGGAUUAGAUACCCUAGUAGUC
This 440-nucleotide ribosomal RNA is filed under the name uncultured bacterium. RNAcentral's name for it is "partial 16S ribosomal RNA". It matches the Rfam family "Bacterial small subunit ribosomal RNA", at positions 338 to 795 of the family's 1533-position model. The record is from RNAcentral.